AGCUCCAAUAGCGUAUAUUAAAGUUGUUGCAGUUAAAAAGCUCGUAGUUGGAUUUCUGGUGGGAGCGAUCGGUCCGACACUAUGUGUGGGUACUCGUAUUGUCUCCGGCCAUCCUUGGGUGGAGCCUGUCUGGCAUUAGGUUGUCGGGCAGGGGAUGCCCAUCGUUUACUGUGAAAAAAUUAGAGUGUUCAAAGCAGGCUUAUGCCGUUGAAUAUAUUAGCAUGGAAUAAUAAGAUAGGACCUCGGUACUAUUUUGUUGGUUUGUGUGCCAAGGUAAUGAUUAAUAGGGACAGUUGGGGGUAUUCGUAUUCAGUUGUCAGAGGUGAAAUUCUUGGAUUUACGGAAGACGAACUACUGCGAAAGCAUUUACCAAGGAUGUUUUCAUUA
This 387-nucleotide ribosomal RNA is filed under the name Helicotheca sp. RNAcentral's name for it is "partial small subunit ribosomal RNA". It matches the Rfam family "Eukaryotic small subunit ribosomal RNA", at positions 587 to 975 of the family's 1831-position model. Lineage: Eukaryota; Bacillariophyta; Thalassiosirophyceae; Lithodesmiales; Lithodesmiaceae. The record is from RNAcentral.